AUAUAUAAAAAAAUUAUAAUAAUAAUAUAUAUAGUAUAUUAAUUAUUAUAUAUUUAUUAUAUAGCCGAAUUUUUUAUCCCGAAUUUUUAAUUGGUGAACGUAUAAUAUUCGUAUAAAUCACGUAUCCGAAUAAUUGCCGAAUCUGUUUUUUAGCCGUAUUUUUCAACGAAUUUAAAAAUUAAAAGACGAAUUAUAUCCGUACCGAAUUUUGGCCGAAUCCGAAUUAACUAACUAUACCUUCAGCCACCAAGGUUGGUUUAACUGCGAUCGAUCUCGUCCGUUCAUUUGCUCGCUCUCGACGUGCUUUAUUAAUUAAUUAAUUGAUAUUUGAAAGGCAAAUUAGAAAAGUAUUUGCUAUAUGAAGGGUAUAUAAGAAAAGUUAGUUACGGUACAAGGAUAUAUUGGAAUAGACAAAAUGAUAAUUUUUUAGAGAUAACGGCAACUCACUGACGGAACUUAACUUCAGGGAUAUAUUAGAAAGACUUGGAACAUAAGAAUGAUAUUUUCAAUAUUAGCCUUCUAAGAGGGGUAAAUAAGAAAACCGAAAACUUUUCAGGGGUAUAUAAGUGAUUGCCC
RNAcentral lists this long non-coding RNA (576 nucleotides) under Ananas comosus (pineapple). RNAcentral describes it as "long non-coding RNA (ACOM_LNC012948)". The record is from RNAcentral. Lineage: Eukaryota; Viridiplantae; Streptophyta; Magnoliopsida; Poales; Bromeliaceae.